AGAGUUUGAUCAUGGCUCAGAAUGAACGCUGGCGGCGUGCCUAAUACAUGCAAGUCGAACGAGGAAUCUUUGUAUUCGUAUAGAGAUUUCCUAGUGGCGAACGGGUGAGUAACGCGUUGGUGACCUGCCCCGAAGAGAGGGAUAACAGCUUGAAAGAGCUGCUAAUACCUCAUGUGAUCUUUAGGAUUAGAUGCCUUUUGAUUAAAUGGAUUUAUUCGCUUCGGGAGGGGCCUGCGUCCCAUCAGCUAGUUGGUAGGGUAAUGGCCUACCAAGGCUAUGACGGGUAGGGGACCUGAGAGGGUGACCCCCCACACUGACACUGAAACACGGGUCAGACACCUACGGGUGGCAGCAGUAGGGAAUAUUGGUAAUGGGCGAAAGCCUGAACCAGCAACGCCGCGUGUGCGAUGAAGGCCUUCGGGUUGUAAAGCACUUUUUGAGGGGAUGAGGAAGGACAGUACCCUCAGAAUAAGCCUCGGCUAACUACGUGCCAGCAGCCGCGGUAAAACGUAGGAGGCGAGCGUUAUUCGGAUUUACUGGGCGUAAAGCGCGUGCAGGCGGUUCGGUAAGUUGGAUGUGAAAGCUCCUGGCUCAACUGGGAGAGGUCGUUCAAUACUGUCGGACUAGAGGAUGAGAGAGGGAGGUGGAAUUCCGGGUGUAGUGGUGGAAUGCGUAGAUAUCCGGAGGAACACCAGUGGCGAAGGCGGCCUCCUGGCUCAUUUCUGACGCUAAGACGCGAAAGCUAGGGUAGCAAACGGGAUUAGAGACCCCGGUAGUCCUAGCUGUAAACGAUGAACACUAGGUGUAGCGGGUAUUGACCCCUGCUGUGCCGCAGUUAACGCAUUAAGUGUUCCGCCUGGGGAGUACGACCGCAAGGUUAAAACUCAAAGGAAUUGACGG
Molecule: ribosomal RNA, 900 nt
Filed under: uncultured bacterium
Lineage: Bacteria
Description: bacterial SSU rRNA
Rfam family: Bacterial small subunit ribosomal RNA
Source: RNAcentral